GGAGUUUCAUGAGUAAAU
This 18-nucleotide small nuclear RNA is filed under the name Arabidopsis thaliana (thale cress). RNAcentral's name for it is "snRNA_15477". Lineage: Eukaryota; Viridiplantae; Streptophyta; Magnoliopsida; Brassicales; Brassicaceae. The record is from RNAcentral.